This 492-nucleotide ribosomal RNA is filed under the name uncultured bacterium. RNAcentral's name for it is "partial 16S ribosomal RNA". It matches the Rfam family "Bacterial small subunit ribosomal RNA", at positions 29 to 507 of the family's 1533-position model. The record is from RNAcentral.
AGUGAACGCUGGCGGUAGGCCUAACACAUGCAAGUCGAACGGCAGCACAGUAAGAGCUUGCUCUUACGGGUGGCGAGUGUCGGACGGGUGAGGAAUACAUCGGAAUCUACUUUUUCGUGGGGGAUAACGUAGGGAAACUUACGCUAAUACCGCAUACGACCUACGGGUGAAAGCAGGGGAUCUUCGGACCUUGCGCGAUUGAAUGAGCCGAUGUCGGAUUAGCUAGUUGGCGGGGUAAAGGCCCACCAAGGCGACGAUCCGUAGCUGGUCUGAGAGGAUGAUCAGCCACACUGGAACUGAGACACGGUACAGACUCCUACGGGAGGCAGCAGUGGGGAAUAUUGGACAAUGGGCGCAAGCCUGAUCCAGCCAUACCGCGUGGGUGAAGAAGGCCUUCGGGUUGUAAAGCCCUUUUGUUGGGAAAGAAAAGCAGCAGGUUAAUACCCCGCUGUUCUGACGGUACCCAAAGAAUAAGCACCGGCUAACUUCGUG